This 389-nucleotide ribosomal RNA is filed under the name uncultured bacterium. RNAcentral's name for it is "bacterial SSU rRNA". It matches the Rfam family "Bacterial small subunit ribosomal RNA", at positions 28 to 417 of the family's 1533-position model. The record is from RNAcentral.
GACGAACGCUGGCGGCGUGCUUAACACAUGCAAGUCGAGCGGUAAGGCCCUUUCGGGGGUACACGAGCGGCGAACGGGUGAGUAACACGUGGGUGACCUGCCCUCAGCUCUGGGAUAAGCCUGGGAAACCGGGUCUAAUACCGGAUAUGACUCCAUGACGCAUGUUGUGGGGUGGAAAGCCUUGUGCGGCUGAGGAUGGGCCCGCGGCCUAUCAGCUUGUUGGUGGGGUGAUGGCCUACCAAGGCGACGACGGGUAGCCGGCCUGAGAGGGCGACCGGCCACACUGGGACUGAGACACGGGCCCAGACUCCUACGGGAGGCAGCAGUGGGGAAUCUUGCGCAAUGGGCGAAAGCCUGACGCAGCGACGCCGCGUGAGGGAUGACGGCCU